RNAcentral lists this non-coding RNA (29 nucleotides) under Cricetulus griseus (Chinese hamster). The record is from RNAcentral. Lineage: Eukaryota; Metazoa; Chordata; Mammalia; Rodentia; Cricetidae.
AAUCCUGGAGUAAAAAAGAAGCUGAAAUG